RNAcentral lists this ribosomal RNA (234 nucleotides) under uncultured bacterium. Its description in RNAcentral is "partial 16S ribosomal RNA". It matches the Rfam family "Bacterial small subunit ribosomal RNA", at positions 100 to 334 of the family's 1533-position model. The record is from RNAcentral.
CGGGACGGGUGAGUAAUGUCUGGGAAACGUGCCUGAUGGGAGGGGGUAACUACUGGAAACGGUAGCUAAUACCGCAUAACGUCGCAAGACCAAAGAGGGGGACCUUAGGGCCUCUUGCCAUCGGAUGUGCCCAGAUGGGAUUAGCUAGUAGGUGGGGUAACGGCUCACCUAGGCGACGAUCCCUAGCUGGUCUGAGAGGAUGACCAGCCACACUGGAACUGAGACACGGUCCAG